GCGUGAGCGAUGAAGGCCUUAGGGUUGUAAAGCUCUUUCACCGGUGAAGAUAAUGACGGUAGCCGGAGAAGAAGCCCCGGCUAACUCCGUGCCAGCAGCCGCGGUAAUACGGAGGGGGCUAGCGUUGUUCGGAAUUACUGGGCGUAAAGCGCGCGUAGGCGGGCUGUUAAGUCGGGGGUGAAAUCCCGGGGCUCAACCCCGGAACUGCCCUCGAUACUGGCAGCCUAGAGGAUGAGAGAGGCGAGUGGAAUUCCGAGUGUAGAGGUGAAAUUCGU
Molecule: ribosomal RNA, 275 nt
Filed under: uncultured bacterium
Lineage: Bacteria
Description: partial 16S ribosomal RNA
Rfam family: Bacterial small subunit ribosomal RNA
Source: RNAcentral